UGCGGAAAUCCCUGCUGGAAUUGGCUUGCAGGAGCCCCCAUAGGGCCAUGAAAACUGAUGCCAGGGCCAAGCAGCCUGGGGAGGCUUCGAAUGUACCCGGCAUAGGAAGGACCUGGGCACCCCGUGAAGCCCUUUCGGUGCCGAGCGAAGCCCUUGCGGCCGCUCCCAAUCCCGAUCCUGGGUUGCACCGGGCUGGAUUUUGGAGGAGCGACACGCAGUGCCAAGCAGGGACCACAGGGAAGGAAAGCGCGGCCAGAACUGGGCACGGCCGGGACGUUUCCCAUGCCAGGCUGCAUCCCUGCUUGCCCGUCCCUCGGCCCUGAUCCCAUCCUUCCCGGUGGGCAGCGACGCGGAGCAGCAGGACCCCGUGCAGGUCCCGCAGGAGAUUCCCGCCGGCUCCAGCUCCAGUCGUGCUCCUUGGGGUUGUGGAACAGCUCCUGCCAGCACCGCCGGGAAGGAUGCGUGGGACGAGGGUGUCCCUGAGGUCUCUGCUGCGCAGGGGCUUUGCCGGGACCCCCUG
Molecule: long non-coding RNA, 520 nt
Organism: Nothoprocta perdicaria
Lineage: Eukaryota; Metazoa; Chordata; Aves; Tinamiformes; Tinamidae
Exons: 2
Source: RefSeq, a predicted model, not a curated record